RNAcentral lists this transfer RNA (68 nucleotides) under Blarina brevicauda (short-tailed shrew). RNAcentral describes it as "tRNA-Lys". Lineage: Eukaryota; Metazoa; Chordata; Mammalia; Eulipotyphla; Soricidae. The record is from RNAcentral.
CAUCAAGAAGCUAAUUUAGCAUUAACCUUUUAAGUUAAAGAUUGAGAGCCCCACCCUCUCCUUGAUGG